GUUCACCAUACUUAGGCUAUCACAGAGAAGUGGUAAGUAUGUGUUGAUAUAAUCUGGUAAGCGGUAAUGAUGAUGAUUGAAUGUAAAUUUGGCCUGGGCAUCAGGGCAAAGGUUGGUCAAGACACAUGAAAACCAACCUCUUCAGUUCCUGGGACAUAAAAAUGUAGGAAAAAAAGGAGAGGAUGGGGUGUCUCCAUCUCCAUCUUUGAAAUGUUUCCCAAGGCUGUUGUCUUGGGAGAACAGUUAGUGAAAUUUUUGUUGGUUUUAUAAUGUAUAAAAGGUUCCCUGGAUCCAGCCGUAAAGGGAUCUCCCAAUUAAGUAAGGCAAGGCCAUUUGUUUGUUUUUGCCCUACGUUUUACCGCACACACUAGCACACGUACACACAACCCACCAGUUAUUAAUAUUUGUUGGUGGUGUUAAUACCGUGUAUGAUUUAAUUGUGUGGGGUAUUUUAAUAGGUUCUUUAUGGGUUAGAGAGGAUACACCUUAAAGGGCACACAAAUUACAUUUUCUGAACUAUCUAUUGUUCGAAUGUUGGUUGCACAAAUGUAAAUUCUCCUGAUAAGAAAAAUCUAAUGUAAACCUUGUACGCAGAAUGAUGGAAAUGUUUAAAAUGUUUUUAAAUAAGUAGUCUGAAGUGCGGGGAAAGGGAUUACCUGUAACAACUGUUGUCAUGGAGAGAAGACCAAGGCGCAGCAAUUAUGACGAAAGUGGUAGGAGUCCUGAGACCGUCCAAACUCCUCUCAUGCUGCUGAUGCACUGGUGGGAAAAUGGACAAGACAUUAUGAACUGUACGGGAUGGUGGUGGAGGCUCAGGUAUACUGACCUCAGCCUCUUCAUCGUUGACAUCCUGAGGGACCGGAGCAUCAGCCUCCCAGUCUUCAAGACCAUCAUGCCACAGCCGGAUGUUGUGGAACACAAAAUGCUGCUGUGGUGACCACAGGGACCUUUCAAUGUCCACCAUGGGCAGGUACUUGAGGCGUCUCCACUUGACCUUGAGGUGUCCAAAUGCCAUUUCAAUGUCAACUCUCGUGGAGCUGUGAGAUGGAGUUGAAUUUCUUCUGCAUUGGAGAGAAAUGCCCAUUGUUCCUGUAAGGCAUAAUGAGGACCUGAGCCCUAGGACCAUGCCUCAGGACUACCUGGUAUGAUGACUCCUUGCUGUCCCCAGUCCACCUGGCCGUGCUGCUGCUCCAGUUUCAACUGUUCUGCCUGCGGCUAUGGAACCCUGACCUGUUCACCGGACGUGCUUGUUGCACCCUCGACAACUACUAUGAUUAUUAUUAUUUGACCAUGCUGGUCAUUUAUGAACAUUUUAACAUUUUAACAUGUUCUGUUAUAAUAUCCACCCUGCACAGCCAGAAGAGGACUGGCCACC
Molecule: long non-coding RNA, 1375 nt
Filed under: Salmo salar (Atlantic salmon)
Lineage: Eukaryota; Metazoa; Chordata; Actinopteri; Salmoniformes; Salmonidae
Description: lncRNA (ENSSSAG00000102786.1, ENSSSAG00000117515.1)
Source: RNAcentral